UUGCGGCAACGAUUGGAUCGCGGUUCACCGAUUCUGCGGGAGCAUGCCUCGUCAAAAACUGAUCGGGUCUCCGAAGAAAAUUUCAUGAAACGACAUAGGAACAACAGUUUUAUCGCCGCCGCGGAUCUCGAUCGACGGUCUUUCUAAGAACCAGACGACUCUGUAUAUUUUCCAGAUAGGCGGCCGCUCGAUCUGGAGUCGCGAUCCCUCCGCGAUAUCUCCGGCCUUGAUCGAAUAAUGAAUUAUUCGAUUAGCAACGAUUCCUUUGAGGCGCCCUGCGCGACGCACCGGGAAAAGAUCAUUGUAUAAUGCAUCGGAACAUUAUCUCGAUAUAAUGCAAGGACUCCGCUCGUUUCAGGGUUUUAAUUCGAACGCGCUUUAAUAAUUCCAGUCUGCGAUCUACUUUUAGUCGCCGAUGAAUAUUUGAAACGCUCGUUCGAGGUGCGCGUUCGUGAUCAUUAUUUGUUCCUGCGACAAUGUGACAACAUUUUAUUUUAUCCUUGGCCACGGUAAAUCAUUCCGAUUUUUAUCAGACGGUUCGAGAGAAUGGACAUGUGCACGGGGAUCUGGAGAGUUAUUAUUAGACUGCGGACUUUAUGCAUUUGUGACAAAAAUGGCUAGCCGACAUUCGAGACGUUCCUGUCGAAAUGCCAGGGCGCCGAGGUGACCGAAGAAAGGAGAACACGAUUUCUUCGGAAUAAACCGGUCGCGCGACCCUUGUGCGGCUCUUUCCUGGGCGUGGAAACUGCGGUGAACAAAGCGACACAGCGAAACAAGAAUUUUGGCCCAGGUCCAAACUUCUCUGUGAAAAACAUCGCCGGACAAAGACGCCGGCCGUUAACACACAAGCGAGAAUUUGCAUAAUCCUGUCAGCUCGAGUUCCUCGGACCUCGCGUUUCGGCGCGGAAGUCAUAAGAACGCAUCUCGAAUAAUUUUGCACGCCGUUUUAAUCAACCUUCAAUUAUAAAGCGUGCACUCUCUGCAAAUUGUCUUGGGAUCUUAAUGUGUCCAGGGAAUUUAUUUCGGAUCACCGUGGACUCUCGCAAGAUUUAUAAAUAAAUUUUGCACGUUCAAUUUGCACAAGUUAAAAAUGUACGAAGUACUCCAGGCGAAGUUGACGCACUUUAUAAUACACUUUGCAAAUUUAUAAAUAAAGUUGACCUCUGUAGUUUAUGCAUGUUAUGGCAUACUUUUAUUAUUAAAUUUGAUUGAUAACAUGA
This is a long non-coding RNA of Megalopta genalis, 1220 nucleotides long. RefSeq lists it as uncharacterized. The record is from RefSeq and is a predicted model, not a curated record. Lineage: Eukaryota; Metazoa; Arthropoda; Insecta; Hymenoptera; Halictidae.